AGACAAAAAGUAGAAAAAUCCACCCUAGUCGGUCCCCAGGACUCAAAUCCAGAGCCAGCCAUGGCAGAGCACGCACAGGGCUCCCGAGCCCUUCUCAUCUGCCUCUGCCUGUGCCUGUGCCUCCUCCUAUCAUCCUCGGAGCACCUGGCGAUGAGCAUGGACCUCGACGACGACGACUUCUUCGACGACAGCUUCUACGACGAGGUGGCACCGGCACGGCGCCUAUAUGAUGAACGAGGCCUCAACGUUCUGAACAGCAACACUUCCUCCAACAGGUCCGGUGCGGCCUUCUGCAGGCUGCUGUCGCUGCAGAUACUGGACCUCUCCAACAACCAGCUCACCGGGGAGCUACCGGACUGCUGGUGGGAGAUGC
Molecule: long non-coding RNA, 373 nt
Filed under: Setaria viridis
Lineage: Eukaryota; Viridiplantae; Streptophyta; Magnoliopsida; Poales; Poaceae
Description: long non-coding RNA (SVIR_LNC010314)
Source: RNAcentral